GCUAUCCUCUAUGGCCAUGCAUCCCCCUUGACCCAAAUUAGGCUGCAUGGCAUGGACGGAGUCCCCAAGCAAUGUAACACGACCUCUUCCCCAACUAAAGGUUGGCGGUCUAUCAUAGAUGUCACGACGAAGAAUUGCAUCUUCAUCUGUGGCAACUAAUAGGUCUAUAACAUUGUCACACCAUCCCCCAAAUAUUUUAAGCAAUCUUUCCUUUUUACCGUUUGGGGCAUCCGCACCACCAGCUGGUUCAUUGUAAAAUGCAUACCACUGCAUCUUGCCUCCCCCCACAUCUGAAGAAACAAAGUACUGUUUGUGGCCCAAAAAGACGCGGUACCCA
This 337-nucleotide unclassified non-coding RNA is filed under the name Hevea brasiliensis (rubber tree). Lineage: Eukaryota; Viridiplantae; Streptophyta; Magnoliopsida; Malpighiales; Euphorbiaceae. The record is from RNAcentral.